GACGAACGCUGGCGGCGUGCUUAACACAUGCAAGUCGAACGGUAAGGCCCUUCGGGGUCCACGAGUGGCGAACGGGUGAGUAACGCGUGAGUAACCUGCCCUUCACUCUGGGAUAACAGUUGGAAACCGCUGCUAAUACCGGAUAUUCAGCUCCUGUCGCAUGGUGGGGGUUGGAAAGUUUUGGUGGUGGAGGAUGGGCUCGCGUCCUAUCAGCUUGUUGGUGGGGUGAUGGCCUACCAAGGCGUCGACGGGUAGCCGGCCUGAGAGGGCGACCGGCCACAUUGGGACUGAGAUACGGCCCAAACUCCUACGGGAGGCAGCAGUGGGGAAUAUUGCACAAUGGGCGGAAGCCUGAUGCAGCAACGCCGCGUGCGGGAUGACGGCCUUCGGGUUGUAAACCGCUUUCAGCAGGGACGAAGCGCAAGUGACGGUACCUGCAGAAGAAGCACCGGCUAACUACGUG
RNAcentral lists this ribosomal RNA (463 nucleotides) under uncultured bacterium. Its description in RNAcentral is "partial 16S ribosomal RNA". It matches the Rfam family "Bacterial small subunit ribosomal RNA", at positions 28 to 507 of the family's 1533-position model. The record is from RNAcentral.